AAAUGUUGCCUUUGAAUUUUCCUUCAAAAUCGGCACGAACUUUCCGGACGACCCAAUAUAAUGCAAUAGAAAAGCCGAAGGCAAUAGAUAUUUGCUAUAAUCAAUCUGCAUGUUUAGUAAUAAGAAAAAUAGAGAUCUUAUUUUGUAUUGCAAAGUAAUGUCAUUUUAUAACAGUUUGUAAUAUAUUUUAUUAUAGACAAAUAAAAUAUUAAUGUGAAGUAUAACGCGGUUUAAUAUUUUACUCACUUUUUGUGCUAUCAUAAGGCCAAAGUAAACUUCUUUCAAUCUUAUGGAUACAUUAUCAUGUGAUAAUCUCUCACGCAAUGCUUUGAUGAUGCGCGCAUAUAUAGCCGUAUGAUUAUUCCCGAAUUGUGAUAUGUAAACAUUUAUUAAACCGAUUACGUUAAAGCUUUUUUACAAAAGUGAGCGUGUAUACACACGUGCUCGAAUCUUUUAUAACAUGCUUGUAACUGGCCCGUCUACCAUCAGCAGUGCAAAUAUCGCAGUAUUGCUAACACGUCAUCAGAUUUAUUUGCAUGAAGUGAAAGAGUUGCAACAUCUUACAAUAACAUAAAAUCUUAUAAGUCUCCUAAGAAAAUUUGAAUAAAGAAGACUUUCUAACUUCUCUUUUUAUGUUUAACUUAAAUUUCUUACAAUUUUUUAUUUAUAUAAAUCAUUUAUACGAAUCAAUUUUAUGUUUUUAUAGUACAAUUUUCUUAAAUAUUUUUUCGUUCAAGGCGCUUCCUUAUCCACUGCUGAAAAGAAUCCAAGACAAGGUCGAGGCAGCUGUAGUAAAUUAAUCUCAAUGUACUAAUAUUAGCAUAUUUGUGUUAUCAAUUCGCAUUCUACUCAGUUACGUCUCAUGCUCUUAUUUAAGCUUAUGAAACAGAAAUAAAAUUCUUCAAGUAAAAAUAAAAUAAAGAAAUAUCAUAUAAACGAAAACUGUGCAUAAAUCUCAGGAUGUUUCAAUUUAGAUAUCCGCGCUGGACAUGAACUUCAGAAUUUUAACAGUUAUCAUUGAUUCCCUCCGAAUUCUACGUUUGGGCACGAAACACAAAAUUCCGCGAUACGCGAACGGAUGUGGUCUACUUAGUGCUACAAAUGUUUCAAAAUAUUUUCUAUCCUUUUUUCUUUCAAAUAAAAAGAAAGACAGAAAGUGUUUUGAAGUAUUUGUAGCGCUAAGUGGACUGUAUCCAACGCUCGAGAUCCGAGCGUAUUUCUGCCGCUUACAAAAUCUUUCAUCUUGCCGGCAGAAGGCGCCGCCAUCGUGGUGCCAUUGAUAAACAGCUCAUGCUACACGCCACAAAGAGACGCGAGCCGUCGCGACGACGCAAAGAGAGUGCUCCGGCGCGUAAAAUUCUCACGUACCUCCCAGCGCGUUGGCUGACGUGAUCAGCAGCGCGUGGACGCGUUGCACUUGGAAAAUUUGAUUUUCAGUGAAUUCAGUGAGCCUCGGUCGUCGAAACUGCGGGAAACUCUCGGAGGAAAGGAAUUACUCACAGUCGCAGCGACAGCCAGCAACGGCCAGCAGCAGCAGCAGCAGGCUUCCUUGAAGGAGAAUCCGUGAAUCGGAAAAUUUCGCGGUAAAUCGCAGGAAAGGUAGAACGCGUACGGCAAACAACGCUAGAUUUCCUCAGCAAACAGAGCCGCUAUCGACAAGAAGCUCUAAUCGCGUCUUCGAGUGAUUCUCGAAGUUCUCGCAUCCUUUGAGGGGUCCGGCACGUGGCAGCGCUGACGACGACAGACACAUCGGCACCGCGACGUGACGUAUCGGCAGAAACGCGCUGGCCGGGACAAAAGAGAGUACCGAGAGAACGAAGUCACCUUCCUCCACGCCGUCGAGCUGAGCCGCGCAGAAGAGCAGUCUGCGAGGUCGCAGCGCACGCGAAAAGCCACGAUAUCAGAGAUAACGUUUCGAAACUAAUUAAUCCGCGCGGCAAACAGACCGUCGUCCGCUCUUGACGGCGCGUCUGCCGGGACGACUCUGGCAGCCCGUAGUCACCGGCUGCCAGUCGCGAACUACGCCAAUUUGCAAAUUGCUGCAGCUGGCGUCGUGCAUUGUCGAAUGGUCUUUCCGUCCUAGACCAGAUCUCGAUCCGCGCGUGAAAAUUCUCUCAGUGUUCCUCGGGAGCGCGACACGCGCGAGUUUCACGAGUUCGUAUAAUAUAUUCCUCCGGUAAUAACAUUGAAAUCGUACGAUAAGUGCAUCCCUGAUGAUCGAAGCGUCGUGACGUCACAGCUGAUAACUAGAACAAAUAAGCUACUCGGAGCCACUUCUCCACUUCGAAUUUGCAACGCCUGCAAUCAGAAGAUAAGUUAGAGGCCAAACAUCUUCGAGGCGCAUUAGCAGACCGUCUCGGCGAGGAACGCAAAGCUACAGUUGAUAAAUCAGAAAUUAAACGUCCACGACGAGACACGUCGGAAGCUUCAGGUGACGAUUACGAUUUCGGCGAGACAACGCGAUCAUUGCGAGAGAACGCUGGAGCAUAAAAGAAUCGCGUCUUGUUGAUCAACACUGAGUGGUUCCAAUUGAGAGCCGACCCUUGAGAGCGGAGCCCAUUGGCCAAGCUGUUAAUUCCUUCAAGCACGAUUGGAUUGGAUCACUCGCGGACAUUCCAGCGUUCGUCACCGUCGACAUCGUCAGGCCGUUUUCCGAGCACCGUCUCGCCAUCCGGACUUUGCUCCUCGCGAAGAAGUUCCUGUGUCUUGUUAAAAUCUAUCGGGAACCUCGGAACAAGGAUCAGCCGAUAUUGUAAAGUUUUAGUGCACAUUUGCAGUGAAUACUUGUUGGAGAACACAUUCGAUUUAACACACUCGAAACACGGAUUUCCAAGGAAAACAUUUUGCAGGACCGGUCACGAAUCAGCAUCAGCAGAAUCAACAAGUCAUCUUCAGCAACAAUUGGAGUCCUAAAAUUGUGACAAAGUGCUCGUUAACGUGAAAAAAUUAAGGUGCUUUGCUGUCCUCUGCAUCAUCUGGGUGACUGAAAAUACUUUGAUCAUAUUUGGCAUCCUCGACGACUGAAUGGCUCACAUCUAUUGGCUGUUGCUUUUCGAGAGACUCUGGUAGUGUCUCACCGCGAUAGUGACGGCAAGAACACAGUACGGAGAGAAGGAGAGAGAGACGUCGCUAUCGCGGAGAGGGUCGAGUCCCCUUGGUCCCGCCGGGAAAACCUUCGCCUUGCUGAUCUUUUCUAAAGGACCAGAUCUCUCUUCGUCGUCGAGAAAAUUUUGG
RNAcentral lists this unclassified non-coding RNA (3234 nucleotides) under Ooceraea biroi (clonal raider ant). RNAcentral describes it as "probable inactive tRNA-specific adenosine deaminase- like protein 3, transcript variant X3". Lineage: Eukaryota; Metazoa; Arthropoda; Insecta; Hymenoptera; Formicidae. The record is from RNAcentral.